This 297-nucleotide ribosomal RNA is filed under the name Salmonella enterica subsp. enterica serovar Blegdam. RNAcentral describes it as "partial 23S ribosomal RNA". It matches the Rfam family "Bacterial large subunit ribosomal RNA", at positions 2647 to 2925 of the family's 2925-position model. The record is from RNAcentral. Lineage: Bacteria; Pseudomonadati; Pseudomonadota; Gammaproteobacteria; Enterobacterales; Enterobacteriaceae.
GUGGGCGGCUGGAGAACUGAGGGGGGCUGCUCCUAGUACGAGAGGACCGGAGUGGACGCAUCACUGGUGUUCGGGUUGUCAUGCCAAUGGCACUGCCCGGUAGCUAAAUGCGGAAGAGAUAAGUGCUGAAAGCAUCUAAGCACGAAACUUGCCCCGAGAUGAGUUCUCCCUGAGACUUAGAGUCUCCUGAAGGAACGUUGAAGACGACGACGUUGAUAGGCCGGGUGUGUAAGCGCAGCGAUGCGUUGAGCUAACCGGUACUAAUGAACCGUGAGGCUUAACCUUACAACGCCGAAG